AGGCAGCAGUAGGGAAUCUUCCACAAUGGGCGCAAGCCUGAUGGAGCAACACCGCGUGAGUGAAGAAGGGUUUCGGCUCGUAAAGCUCUGUUGUUGGAGAAGAACGUGCGUGAGAGUAACUGUUCACGCAGUGACGGUAUCCAACCAGAAAGUCACGGCUAACUAC
Molecule: ribosomal RNA, 166 nt
Filed under: uncultured Lactobacillus sp.
Lineage: Bacteria; Bacillati; Bacillota; Bacilli; Lactobacillales; Lactobacillaceae
Description: partial 16S ribosomal RNA
Rfam family: Bacterial small subunit ribosomal RNA
Source: RNAcentral